Molecule: ribosomal RNA, 2896 nt
Filed under: Klebsiella pneumoniae
Lineage: Bacteria; Pseudomonadati; Pseudomonadota; Gammaproteobacteria; Enterobacterales; Enterobacteriaceae
Description: bacterial LSU rRNA
Rfam family: Bacterial large subunit ribosomal RNA
Source: RNAcentral
UUAAGCGACUAAGCGUACACGGUGGAUGCCCUGGCAGUCAGAGGCGAUGAAGGACGUGCUAAUCUGCGAAAAGCGUCGGUAAGGUGAUAUGAACCGUUAUAACCGGCGAUGUCCGAAUGGGGAAACCCAGUGUGAUUCGUCACACUAUCGUUAACUGAAUACAUAGGUUAACGAGGCGAACCGGGGGAACUGAAACAUCUAAGUACCCGAGGAAAAGAAAUCAACCGAGAUUCCCCAGUAGCGGCGAGCGAACGGGGAGCAGCCCAGAGUCUGAAUCAGCUUGUGUGUUAGUGGAACGGUCUGGAAAGUCCGACGGUACAGGGUGAUAGUCCCGUACACCAAAAUGCACAGGUUGUGAACUCGAAGAGUAGGGCGGGACACGUGGUAUCCUGUCUGAAUAUGGGGGGACCAUCCUCCAAGGCUAAAUACUCCUGACUGACCGAUAGUGAACCAGUACCGUGAGGGAAAGGCGAAAAGAACCCCGGCGAGGGGAGUGAAAAAGAACCUGAAACCGUGUACGUACAAGCAGUGGGAGCACCUUCGGGUGUGACUGCGUACCUUUUGUAUAAUGGGUCAGCGACUUAUAUUCUGUAGCAAGGUUAACCGUAUAGGGGAGCCGCAGGGAAACCGAGUCUUAACUGGGCGUUAAGUUGCAGGGUAUAGACCCGAAACCCGGUGAUCUAGCCAUGGGCAGGUUGAAGGUUGGGUAACACUAACUGGAGGACCGAACCGACUAAUGUUGAAAAAUUAGCGGAUGACUUGUGGCUGGGGGUGAAAGGCCAAUCAAACCGGGAGAUAGCUGGUUCUCCCCGAAAGCUAUUUAGGUAGCGCCUCGUGAACUCAUCUUCGGGGUAGAGCACUGUUUCGGCUAGGGGGUCAUCCCGACUUACCAACCCGAUGCAAACUACGAAUACCGAAGAAUGUUAUCACGGGAGACACACGGCGGGUGCUAACGUCCGUCGUGAAGAGGGAAACAACCCAGACCGCCAGCUAAGGUCCCAAAGUCAUGGUUAAGUGGGAAACGAUGUGGGAAGGCACAGACAGCCAGGAUGUUGGCUUAGAAGCAGCCAUCAUUUAAAGAAAGCGUAAUAGCUCACUGGUCGAGUCGGCCUGCGCGGAAGAUGUAACGGGGCUAAACCAUGCACCGAAGCUGCGGCAGCGACACUAUGUGUUGUUGGGUAGGGGAGCGUUCUGUAAGCCUGCGAAGGUGACCUGUGAGGGUUGCUGGAGGUAUCAGAAGUGCGAAUGCUGACAUAAGUAACGAUAAAGCGGGUGAAAAGCCCGCUCGCCGGAAGACCAAGGGUUCCUGUCCAACGUUAAUCGGGGCAGGGUGAGUCGACCCCUAAGGCGAGGCCGAAAGGCGUAGUCGAUGGGAAACAGGUUAAUAUUCCUGUACUUGGUGUUACUGCGAAGGGGGGACGGAGAAGGCUAUGUUAGCCGGGCGACGGUUGUCCCGGUUUAAGCAUGUAGGCUGAUUGUCCAGGCAAAUCCGGAUAAUCAAGGCUGAGGUGUGAUGACGAGGCACUACGGUGCUGAAGUAACAAAUGCCCUGCUUCCAGGAAAAGCCUCUAAGCAUCAGGUAACAUCAAAUCGUACCCCAAACCGACACAGGUGGUCAGGUAGAGAAUACCAAGGCGCUUGAGAGAACUCGGGUGAAGGAACUAGGCAAAAUGGUGCCGUAACUUCGGGAGAAGGCACGCUGGUGUGUAGGUGAAGUCCCUGCGGAUGGAGCUGAGACCAGUCGAAGAUACCAGCUGGCUGCAACUGUUUAUUAAAAACACAGCACUGUGCAAACACGAAAGUGGACGUAUACGGUGUGACGCCUGCCCGGUGCCGGAAGGUUAAUUGAUGGGGUUAUCCGUAAGGAGAAGCUCUUGAUCGAAGCCCCGGUAAACGGCGGCCGUAACUAUAACGGUCCUAAGGUAGCGAAAUUCCUUGUCGGGUAAGUUCCGACCUGCACGAAUGGCGUAAUGAUGGCCAGGCUGUCUCCACCCGAGACUCAGUGAAAUUGAACUCGCUGUGAAGAUGCAGUGUACCCGCGGCAAGACGGAAAGACCCCGUGAACCUUUACUAUAGCUUGACACUGAACAUUGAGCCUUGAUGUGUAGGAUAGGUGGGAGGCUUUGAAGCGUGGACGCCAGUCUGCGUGGAGCCAACCUUGAAAUACCACCCUUUAAUGUUUGAUGUUCUAACGUUGGCCCCUUACCGGGGUUGCGGACAGUGUCUGGUGGGUAGUUUGACUGGGGCGGUCUCCUCCCAAAGCGUAACGGAGGAGCACGAAGGUUAGCUAAUCCUGGUCGGACAUCAGGAGGUUAGUGCAAUGGCAUAAGCUAGCUUGACUGCGAGCGUGACGGCGCGAGCAGGUGCGAAAGCAGGUCAUAGUGAUCCGGUGGUUCUGAAUGGAAGGGCCAUCGCUCAACGGAUAAAAGGUACUCCGGGGAUAACAGGCUGAUACCGCCCAAGAGUUCAUAUCGACGGCGGUGUUUGGCACCUCGAUGUCGGCUCAUCACAUCCUGGGGCUGAAGUAGGUCCCAAGGGUAUGGCUGUUCGCCAUUUAAAGUGGUACGCGAGCUGGGUUUAGAACGUCGUGAGACAGUUCGGUCCCUAUCUGCCGUGGGCGCUGGAGAAUUGAGGGGGGCUGCUCCUAGUACGAGAGGACCGGAGUGGACGCAUCACUGGUGUUCGGGUUGUCAUGCCAAUGGCACUGCCCGGUAGCUAAAUGCGGAAGAGAUAAGUGCUGAAAGCAUCUAAGCACGAAACUUGCCCCGAGAUGAGUUCUCCCUGAGACUUUAAGUCUCCUGAAGGAACGUUGAAGACGACGACGUUGAUAGGCCGGGUGUGUAAGCGCAGCGAUGCGUUGAGCUAACCGGUACUAAUGAACCGUGAGGCUUAACCU